UCCAUGUGUCUCUGUCUUCUGGAAAUAUUCUUGAAAAAUAAAACCAUUGAAUCGAGGAAUGCAUCACUUCAGCCCAUCUGAGUAAUGGGUGAUUUCCCAGCGCACACUGGGUGAUUAUAUUGUGCAGGUCUGAAUUUUGAUGUGCUUUCAGUGGAUGGCCACUUAAUUUGCCAUUUCUGAGAGCUUUGGCUGCACUUGAAUCCUGUUCUCCAGAUGUGGUGCUACCUGGCUGUGCAUUGGCAAAAUUUUCUCUUUGAAUGAUUGUGGCUCCUGCUAAGCGAAGAACCCAGGGAUGUCAAGCUUUGUAAUGUGCCACAAGCAGUUGUUCCGGUGAACAUAUGGAGGCUUCCUGAGGAUGUGCUGUACCACAAGGAAGAUGUAUGAAGAUGAGGGAGAAGGUCUAUGUGGAAAAUAUGCAUCAUUAACUGAACAAAGAAGGAAGCAAUAGUCAGAGGAGGAUGGGGGAUACGCUGUUGAUUCAGAUCAGCAGGGUGUGCUGGUGUGGCCACAACGCUAAUAUAUCCUUGACCACCUCAUGUGCCAAGACUGGCCACAGAGCCAGGAUGGAGAGCUUGUGGCACUGCUACACCUUGGGAACCGUCCCUGAUGCUUUGGAGCAGGAGCCAGCGAAAGCAGAGGUCUGUGGAGAGGGAGCAGGCCUUGUCUGGGGCAAAGUCCCCUUAUUCCAGUGGCCAUUCACUUCAGAAGGGCAUUUUAUGGAGAGGGGACAGUGUGAAAA
RNAcentral lists this long non-coding RNA (739 nucleotides) under Apteryx owenii (little spotted kiwi). RNAcentral describes it as "lncRNA (ENSAOWG00000005091.1)". Lineage: Eukaryota; Metazoa; Chordata; Aves; Apterygiformes; Apterygidae. The record is from RNAcentral.